CGCUUGCCCUGCUCCUCUCUUGGCUGCUAGCCCAGUGUGUUAUGGUGCACUGUGGGCUUUCCCUCAGCGCUACUUCAGAUCUUUUUCGGAACUGAGAAAAUAGACGGCAAAUUACGGAACGCCACCUAUUUUAAUUCGUUUUCAUCUUCCCAGGGUUUCCAUACAACAGGCUUUGAAAGACUCCACCUGAGUCUGUUUAGCCUUCCUAGGUUGCUCCUGUGUCAUACCAUCUUCUAACUUCAACCUGACUAGAUCUGGACUCUUCGGUCUGUGAGGGCAUUUCAAGGAAGGAUUAACUAAAAGGAGAAGACCUAACCCUCAUCCAGAGUGUGCAGUACCUUCCCAAGACUGAAGAUCAAGUGCUUGACAGAAAUCCUCCAGCCCUUCACCAUCAGAAUGGAAAUGCUGAAGCAUCCAGCCCUGUGGACUAUGCAGCUACAAGAUUCUCAACCUCUCUGAUGUUCAAAAAAAAAACCCAGCUAUUGGACUUCCCAGCUCCUAUCAUACAAACUCGUGUAAUCUCCUUUGUUAAAUGUAUAUUCCUUCAAUUCAUUCUGUUCUCCUCAAGAACCUUGACUAAUACAGAGCACACACUCUAUUAUGAAUUGUACUGAACAUUUUAUUUAUAAUCUUAUUUCACACACUUUCACAAUAUGAGGUACUAUUACCUGCUGUCCUAGUUAGGGUUAAUAUUGCUGUGAUGAAACACCAGAUCAAAAGCAACUUGUAGGGGGAAAGGUUUAUUUGGCUUACACUUCUAGGUGACAGUCCAUCACUGAGAGAAGUCAGAGCAGGAACCUGAAGACAAGAGCUGAUGCAGAAGAAAUAGAGGAGUGUUACUUGUGCUUACUCAUUUUCUUCCCCUGGCUUUGUCAGCCUGCUUUCUUAUAGAACCAGCCUUGGGUGGCCUCACCCACAAUGGGCCCUCCCACAUCAAUCACUAAUUAGGAAAAUGCCCCACGGGCUUGCCUACAGCAUUAUAUUAUGAAAGCAUUUUCUCAAUGGAGAUUCACCCCUCUCAGAUGACUAUAGCUUGUGUCAAAUUGAUACAAAAUAUAUGCAGGACAUCUAUAUUUUAGAAAUGAAAAAAACUGAGGAUCUGUUAAAUACCACAGUCGAGGCAUCAUGAUUUAAUCUCAGUACCCACCUGAAAGGAUGGAAGAACAAUGCAAGGCAGUUCACCUAAAUGGAAAAUCUAAGACUUAGCUUCUAAGCGCUCUCCGAAUUAAGACAGUGGGGAGAUUGAGACAGUCUAGCACAUCCAACCUUUUAAUGUUUAUUAAGUAAUUGUUCUAUAAGUGGUCCCUUGCUAGGUACUGUGAAACACUGGGCUCACAUCAGGUAUAGAAACCAAACAUACCAACAGAUUUACACAAAAUGAGCUGUGCAGGAGUUAGGCUCAAGGCAGUCAAACAAUGCUACAACUAGGAAAGGCCAGUGAGGUUUCAUAAAGAAUGUAAUGUUUGAAAUUAUUCUUCAAGGGUAUGCAUGAAUAGAUCAAUUGGAUAAUCUGUCUUUCCAGCAUAUUCAGCUAGAGAAUUUGUUCCUGGUUAUUUAUAUAAAAACACAGAAGUCAUACUUCACAAUAAACCUGAAUUUUAAAAACAUA
Molecule: non-coding RNA, 1609 nt
Organism: Cricetulus griseus (Chinese hamster)
Lineage: Eukaryota; Metazoa; Chordata; Mammalia; Rodentia; Cricetidae
Source: RefSeq, a predicted model, not a curated record